GAGUUUGAUCCUGGCUCAGGACGAACGCUGGCGGCGUGCUUAACACAUGCAAGUCGAACGAUGAACCUUCCAUGAACUCUUCGGAGUGAUUGGGAGCGGAUUAGUGGCGAACGGGUGAGUAACGCGUGAGCAACCUGCCUUAAACAACGGGAUAGCCUCGGGAAACCGGGAUUAAUACCGUAUGAGACCCCGCCUUCACAUGAAGAAGAGGUUAAAGAUUUAUCGGUUUAAGAUGGGCUCGCGUCUGAUUAGCUAGUUGGUGAGAUAAAAGCCCACCAAGGCAACGAUCAGUAACCGGCUUGAGAGAGUGAACGGUCACAUUGGAACUGAGACACGGUCCAAACUCCUACGGGAGGCAGCAGUGGGGAAUAUUGCACAAUGGGGGAAACCCUGAUGCAGCGACGCCGCGUGAGCGAUGAAGGAAUUCGUUUCGUAAAGCUCUGUCCUAGGGGAAGAUAAUGACAGUACCCUUGGAGGAAGCCCCGGCUAAAUACGUGCCAGCAGCCGCGGUAAUACGUAUGGGGCGAGCGUUGUCCGGAAUUAUUGGGCGUAAAGGGUACGUAGGCGGUUUCAUAAGUCAGAUGUAAAAGCGUGGGGCUCAACCCCAUAAAGCAUUUGAAACUGUGGAACUUGAGUAGUGGAGAGGAAAGUGGAAUUCCUAGUGUAGCGGUGAAAUGCGUAGAUAUUAGGAGGAAUACCAGUGGCGAAGGCGACUUUCUGGACACAAACUGACGCUGAGGUACGAAAGCAUGGGGAGCAAACAGGAUUAGAUACCCUGGUAGUCCAUGCCGUAAACGAUGAAUGCUAGGUGUCGGGGGUCAAACCUCGGUGCCGCAGUUAACACAGUAAGCAUUCCGCCUGGGGA
RNAcentral lists this ribosomal RNA (865 nucleotides) under uncultured Peptostreptococcaceae bacterium. Its description in RNAcentral is "bacterial SSU rRNA". It matches the Rfam family "Bacterial small subunit ribosomal RNA", at positions 9 to 879 of the family's 1533-position model. The record is from RNAcentral. Lineage: Bacteria; Bacillati; Bacillota; Clostridia; Peptostreptococcales; Peptostreptococcaceae.